Molecule: ribosomal RNA, 3005 nt
Filed under: Yersinia enterocolitica
Lineage: Bacteria; Pseudomonadati; Pseudomonadota; Gammaproteobacteria; Enterobacterales; Yersiniaceae
Description: bacterial LSU rRNA
Rfam family: Bacterial large subunit ribosomal RNA
Source: RNAcentral
UUAAGCGACUAAGCGUACACGGUGGAUGCCUAGGCAGUCAGAGGCGAUGAAGGGCGUGCUAAUCUGCGAAAAGCGUCGGUAAGGUGAUAUGAACCGUUAUAACCGACGAUACCCGAAUGGGGAAACCCAGUGCAAUUCGUUGCACUAUUGCAUGGUGAAUACAUAGCCAUGCAAGGCGAACCGGGGGAACUGAAACAUCUAAGUACCCCGAGGAAAAGAAAUCAACCGAGAUUCCCCCAGUAGCGGCGAGCGAACGGGGAGGAGCCCAGAACCUGAAUCAGCGUAUGUGUUAGUGGAAGCGUCUGGAAAGUCGCACGGUACAGGGUGAUAGUCCCGUACACAAAAAUGCAUAUGUUGUGAGUUCGAUGAGUAGGGCGGGACACGUGACAUCCUGUCUGAAUAUGGGGGGACCAUCCUCCAAGGCUAAAUACUCCUGACUGACCGAUAGUGAACCAGUACCGUGAGGGAAAGGCGAAAAGAACCCCGGCGAGGGGAGUGAAACAGAACCUGAAACCGUGUACGUACAAGCAGUGGGAGCACCUUCGUGGUGUGACUGCGUACCUUUUGUAUAAUGGGUCAGCGACUUAUAUUUUGUAGCAAGGUUAACCGAAUAGGGGAGCCGUAGGGAAACCGAGUCUUAACUGGGCGAAUAGUUGCAAGGUAUAGACCCGAAACCCGGUGAUCUAGCCAUGGGCAGGUUGAAGGUUGGGUAACACUAACUGGAGGACCGAACCGACUAAUGUUGAAAAAUUAGCGGAUGACUUGUGGCUGGGGGUGAAAGGCCAAUCAAACCGGGAGAUAGCUGGUUCUCCCCGAAAGCUAUUUAGGUAGCGCCUCGUGAACUCAUCUUCGGGGGUAGAGCACUGUUUCGGCUAGGGGGUCAUCCCGACUUACCAAACCGAUGCAAACUCCGAAUACCGAAGAAUGUUAUCACGGGAGACACACGGCGGGUGCUAACGUCCGUCGUGAAGAGGGAAACAACCCAGACCGCCAGCUAAGGUCCCAAAGUCAUGGUUAAGUGGGAAACGAUGUGGGAAGGCACAGACAGCCAGGAUGUUGGCUUAGAAGCAGCCAUCAUUUAAAGAAAGCGUAAUAGCUCACUGGUCGAGUCGGCCUGCGCGGAAGAUGUAACGGGGCUAAACCAUGCACCGAAGCUGCGGCAGCGAACGUAUCACUUAAAACGCUUAACGUGACGGCAAAGCCGGCAUGUUCAAGCCACACUAAACGUUGAGUUGGCCGAUGUGCUGACAAACGAACAGGCGUUUUAAGGAUACGUUCGUUGGGUAGGGGAGCGUUCUGUAAGCCGUUGAAGGUGGCCUGUGAGGGUUGCUGGAGGUAUCAGAAGUGCGAAUGCUGACAUAAGUAACGAUAAUGCGGGUGAAAAACCCGCACGCCGGAAGACCAAGGGUUCCUGUCCAACGUUAAUCGGGGCAGGGUGAGUCGACCCCUAAGGCGAGGCUGAAAAGCGUAGUCGAUGGGAAACAGGUUAAUAUUCCUGUACUUGGUGUUACUGCGAAGGGGGGACGGAGAAGGCUAGGCUAGCCGGGCGACGGUUGUCCCGGUUUAAGCAUGUAGGCGGAGUGACCAGGUAAAUCCGGUUGCUUAUCAACGCUGAGGUGUGAUGACGAGUCACUACGGUGAUGAAGUAGUUGAUGCCAUGCUUCCAGGAAAAGCCUCUAAGCAUCAGGUAACAUGAAAUCGUACCCCAAACCGACACAGGUGGUCAGGUAGAGAAUACUCAGGCGCUUGAGAGAACUCGGGUGAAGGAACUAGGCAAAAUGGUGCCGUAACUUCGGGAGAAGGCACGCUGGCAUUAGGUAAAGGGACUUGCUCCCGGCGCCGAAGCCAGUCGCAGAUACCAGCUGGCUGCAACUGUUUAAUAAAAACACAGCACUGUGCAAACACGAAAGUGGACGUAUACGGUGUGACGCCUGCCCGGUGCUGGAAGGUUAAUUGAUGGGGUCAGCCGCAAGGCGAAGCUCUUGAUCGAAGCCCCAGUAAACGGCGGCCGUAACUAUAACGGUCCUAAGGUAGCGAAAUUCCUUGUCGGGUAAGUUCCGACCUGCACGAAUGGCGUAAUGAUGGCCAGGCUGUCUCCACCCGAGACUCAGUGAAAUUGAACUCGCUGUGAAGAUGCAGUGUACCCGCGGCAAGACGGAAAGACCCCGUGAACCUUUACUAUAGCUUGACACUGAACAUUGAGCCUUGAUGUGUAGGAUAGGUGGGAGGCAUAGAAGUGUGGACGCCAGUCUGCAUGGAGCCAACCUUGAAAUACCACCCUUUAAUGUUUGAUGUUCUAACUCGGCCCCGUAAUCCGGGGUGAGGACAGUGUCUGGUGGGUAGUUUGACUGGGGCGGUCUCCUCCCAAAGAGUAACGGAGGAGCACGAAGGUUAGCUAAUCACGGUCGGACAUCGUGAGGUUAGUGCAAAGGCAUAAGCUAGCUUGACUGCGAGAGUGACGGCUCGAGCAGGUACGAAAGUAGGUCUUAGUGAUCCGGUGGUUCUGAAUGGAAGGGCCAUCGCUCAACGGAUAAAAGGUACUCCGGGGAUAACAGGCUGAUACCGCCCAAGAGUUCAUAUCGACGGCGGUGUUUGGCACCUCGAUGUCGGCUCAUCACAUCCUGGGGCUGAAGUAGGUCCCAAGGGUAUGGCUGUUCGCCAUUUAAAGUGGUACGCGAGCUGGGUUUAGAACGUCGUGAGACAGUUCGGUCCCUAUCUGCCGUGGGCGUUGGAAGAUUGAGAGGGGCUGCUCCUAGUACGAGAGGACCGGAGUGGACGAAUCACUGGUGUUCGGGUUGUCAUGCCAAUGGCAUUGCCCGGUAGCUAAAUUCGGAAGAGAUAACCGCUGAAAGCAUCUAAGCGGGAAACUUGCCUCGAGAUGAGUCUUCCCUGGGGCUUUAAGCCCCCUGAAGGAACGUUAAAGACGAUGACGUUGAUAGGCUGGGUGUGUAAGUGCAGCGAUGCAUUGAGCUAACCAGUACUAAUGAACCGUGAGGCUUAACCUU